Molecule: long non-coding RNA, 918 nt
Organism: Ostrinia nubilalis (European corn borer)
Lineage: Eukaryota; Metazoa; Arthropoda; Insecta; Lepidoptera; Crambidae
Exons: 5
Source: RefSeq, a predicted model, not a curated record
AAUUUUCAUCGAAAAAACGUGUUUUUCUACAAAUGUUAUCUAAUUAUAAUCAAUAAUUAUUGCUCAAUCAUUAUAUUCAUUAUUAAUUAAUAAGAACUACAUGUGCAUGGAUUACCUGUUGGAUUGAUGUUUGUUUAAGAAGAAAUUUCUCUAAAGUAAGACUCGAGAAAGGUUAUUGCAGCUUGCAGCAACAUCAUGUUUUAUCAAGUAUUGAACCACACAAAGGAUUAAAUCUUCAUUACAAUAUCAUUCAUAACUCCAUUUAAAUCAAUGGAAACUAUAUAUGGAUCGUUUCAUGGAGUAACAACAUACUUUGGAGUUUGGACCCAAAAUACAAUACACGUUAAUAUCGAACUUCGAACUUAUAAGGUGUUAAGCUGCAAUUACAAUAAAAGUGCUUGCUAUGGAAUCACCGGUGCUGAAAGAAAGAAAGAAAAAAUAUUUAUUUGGUUAUGCCGUGACAUAAAUGCAUUAAAUUAGAAAGAUUUGUAUUGGAUGAAUUACCCAGAUAACAAUUAAAACAACUUCUGUUGAUAAGAACAUUUGAUUGGUGGAAUCCAGAUUCUGUGAAUGUACAUGUAAUUGAUUGAAAAGUGCACAUUUGACAAGGUGGUGAGAAACGUGUAGGUCUGGCCUGCUUACAGUGGCUAUUGGAUUGGACAGAACCAAAGUGAGAGUGAACGUGUGAAUUUAUGGAGAACAUUAAACUAUUUUACUAUAAGUCAUAACGCAACUUAUUUUGUAUGAGUUACAUACAAAUGUCAAGCCGUGAGUACCUACAUUAUGUAAAAACUAAAACAAUGUACUGUAAUCACAAUAGUAACUGUAAUCUUUUAAAAUAAAAUAGUUUUAAUGCUUAUUGAUUUUCGUAAACAAAAUAUUUCAUGUUAUAUUUCAUCAAUAAAGUUUCAUUUGAUA